RNAcentral lists this ribosomal RNA (477 nucleotides) under uncultured organism. RNAcentral's name for it is "partial 16S ribosomal RNA". It matches the Rfam family "Bacterial small subunit ribosomal RNA", at positions 331 to 799 of the family's 1533-position model. The record is from RNAcentral.
GUACACUCCUACGGGAGGCAGCAGUGGGGAAUAUUGCACAAUGGGCGCAAGCCUGAUGCAGCCAUGCCGCGUGUAUGAAGAAGGCCUUCGGGUUGUAAAGUACUUUCAGCAGGGAGGAAGGCGAUAAGGUUAAUAACCUUGUCGAUUGACGUUACCCGCAGAAGAAGCACCGGCUAACUCCGUGCCAGCAGCCGCGGUAAUACGGAGGGUGCAAGCGUUAAUCGGAAUUACUGGGCGUAAAGCGCACGCAGGCGGUCUGUCAAGUCGGAUGUGAAAUCCCCGGGCUCAACCUGGGAACUGCAUUCGAAACUGGCAGGCUAGAGUCUUGUAGAGGGGGGUAGAAUUCCAGGUGUAGCGGUGAAAUGCGUAGAGAUCUGGAGGAAUACCGGUGGCGAAGGCGGCCCCCUGGACAAAGACUGACGCUCAGGUGCGAAAGCGUGGGGAGCAAACAGGAUUAGAUACCCCAGUAGUCCCAUG